Molecule: ribosomal RNA, 275 nt
Filed under: uncultured bacterium
Lineage: Bacteria
Description: partial 16S ribosomal RNA
Rfam family: Bacterial small subunit ribosomal RNA
Source: RNAcentral
CCUACGGGUGGCUGCAGCAAGGAGUUUUCCGCAAUGGGCGCAAGCCUGACGGAGCAACGCCGCGUGGGGGAUGACACCUUUCGGGGCGUAAACCCCUUUUCUUGGGGACGAAGCAGUGACGGUACCCGAGGAAGAAGGCCCGGCUAACUACGUGCCAGCAGCCGCGGUAAUACGUAGGGGCCGAGCGUUGUCCGGAGUUACUGGGCGUAAAGCGCGCGCAGGCGGCUCGUCAAGCCUGACGUGAAAGCCCCCGGCUCAACCGGGGAGGGUCGUCG